CCCUUAGAUGUUGUGGGCAGCACGCGCGCUACAAUGGUCUUCGCAAACGGAUGCAUUCUCGAAGGAGAAUGCCAAUCUUGGAAUCUAUGCCUUGGUCGGGACAGUUGCUUGCAAUUUUUCGACUCGAACCAGGAAUUCCUUGUAAUCGUGAUUCAUCACAUCACGAUGAAUACGCCCCUGCCCUUUGUACACACCGCCCGUCGCUCCUACCGAUCGAAGAGUUAGGUGAAUUGUUUUGAUCGAUAAGAUUUGACUAUGGUCAACUCUCGUUGUGAAAUUCUGUGAAUCUGACUGUUUAGAGGAAGGAAAAGUCGUAACA
RNAcentral lists this ribosomal RNA (319 nucleotides) under uncultured eukaryote. Its description in RNAcentral is "partial 18S ribosomal RNA". It matches the Rfam family "Eukaryotic small subunit ribosomal RNA", at positions 1470 to 1796 of the family's 1831-position model. The record is from RNAcentral.